RNAcentral lists this ribosomal RNA (447 nucleotides) under uncultured bacterium. RNAcentral's name for it is "bacterial SSU rRNA". It matches the Rfam family "Bacterial small subunit ribosomal RNA", at positions 15 to 507 of the family's 1533-position model. The record is from RNAcentral.
GAUCAUGGCUCAGAACGAACGCUGGCGGCAUGCCUAACACAUGCAAGUCGAACGAGACCUUCGGGUCUAGUGGCGCACGGGUGCGUAACGCGUGGGAACCUGCCUUUAGGUUCGGAAUAACAGUGAGAAAUUACUGCUAAUACCGGAUGAUGUCUUCGGACCAAAGAUUUAUCGCCUUUAGAUGGGCCCGCGUUGGAUUAGCUAGUUGGUGGGGUAAAGGCCUACCAAGGCGACGAUCCAUAGCUGGUCUGAGAGGAUGAUCAGCCACACUGGGACUGAGACACGGCCCAGACUCCUACGGGAGGCAGCAGUGGGGAAUAUUGGACAAUGGGCGAAAGCCUGAUCCAGCAAUGCCGCGUGAGUGAUGAAGGCCUUAGGGGUUGUAAAGCUCUUUUACCCGAGAUGAUAAUGACAGUAUCGGGAGAAUAAGCUCCGGCUAACUCCGUG